Molecule: ribosomal RNA, 253 nt
Filed under: uncultured bacterium
Lineage: Bacteria
Description: partial 16S ribosomal RNA
Rfam family: Bacterial small subunit ribosomal RNA
Source: RNAcentral
UACGGGGGGGGCAAGCGUUGUUCGGAAUUACUGGGCGUAAAGGGCUCGUAGGCGGCCAACUAAGUCAGACGUGAAAUCCCUCGGCUUAACCGGGGAACUGCGUCUGAUACUGGAUGGCUCGAGUUUGGGAGAGGGAUGCGGAAUUCCAGGUGUAGCGGUGAAAUGCGUAGAUAUCUGGAGGAACACCGGUGGCGAAGGCGGGUCUCUGGGCCGUAACUGACGCUGAGGAGCGAAAGCGUGGGGAGCGAACAGG